Molecule: ribosomal RNA, 452 nt
Filed under: uncultured bacterium
Lineage: Bacteria
Description: SSU rRNA
Rfam family: Bacterial small subunit ribosomal RNA
Source: RNAcentral
AGGAUAAACGCUGGCGGCGUGCCUAACACAUGCAAGUCGAACGUCCUACGCAAGUAGGGAGUGGCGGACGGGUGAGUAACACGUGGGCAAUCUACCUUUCGGUGAGGAAUACCGGCGAGAAAUCGCCGACAAUACCGCAUACGCUUCGCAAGAAGCAAAGUCGCAAGACGCCGGAGGAGGAGCCUGCGCCCGAUUAGCUGGUUGGUGAGGUAAGAGCUCACCAAGGCGACGAUCGGUAGCUGGUCUGAGAGGAUGAUCAGCCACACUGGGAUUGAGAACGGCCCAGACUCCUACGGGGGGCAGCAGUGAGGAAUUUUCGGCAAUGGGGGCAACCCUGACCGAGCAACGCCGCGUGCAGGAGGAAGGUCUUCGGAUCGUAAACUGCUUUUCUGUGGGAGAGAACGGACGGUACCACAGGAAGAAGCCCCGGCUAACUACGUGCCAGCAGCCGC